UUUUCUUCUGGCAGGGGAUGGCAUGAGCCGGGCUCUGCGGGCACUGAGGCUGCUCUGGGCUCUGCCAGGGCUCUGCUGGGCUCUGCCCUGGGCACAGCUGGGCUGGCUCUGCCCUCACAUUGCUCUGACAGCUUUGCAUCAGACGAGCCCAUUUGAGCACAGCGCCUGAGCUUUCUGCCUUGGCAGAAGUGCCACGAGUGGGCCAAACCUGGCAAGUGAGCCGAGUUCCUAAGGCAUUGCUGUCUGGAG
RNAcentral lists this long non-coding RNA (249 nucleotides) under Chloebia gouldiae (Gouldian finch). RNAcentral's name for it is "Erythrura gouldiae (Gouldian finch) lncRNA (ENSEGOG00005018858.1)". The record is from RNAcentral. Lineage: Eukaryota; Metazoa; Chordata; Aves; Passeriformes; Passeridae.